Molecule: ribosomal RNA, 2935 nt
Filed under: Gloeochaete wittrockiana
Lineage: Eukaryota; Glaucocystophyceae; Gloeochaetales; Gloeochaetaceae
Description: 23S ribosomal RNA
Rfam family: Bacterial large subunit ribosomal RNA
Source: RNAcentral
GGUCAAGUAACAAAGAGCUUAUGGUGGAUACCUAGGUACCCAAAAGCGAUGAAGGGCGCGAGAAUCAGCGAAAUGCUUCGGGGAGCUGACUAUAAGCUAAUCCGGAGGUUCCCGAAUAAGGCAACUUCUUGUACUAUUUGCUGAAUAUAUAGGCAAAGUUAGAGCGAACUUGGUGAAUUGAAACAUCUUAGUAACCAAAGGAAAAGAAAGCAAAAGCGAUUCUCUUAGUAGCGGCGAGCGAACCGGGAUCAGCCUAAACUACCCUUUAUGGGUAGGGUUGUGGGACGUCUAUAAAUUUAGUUUAAUUAAAUUAGAUGAAGCAAGUGAAUAUUGCACCAUAGAAGAUGAAAGUUCUGUAGUCGAAAAUUUAUUAACUAACAGAUUGUAUCCCAAGUAGCAUGGGACACGUGAAAUCCCGUGUGAAUCUGCGAGGACCACCUCGUAAGGCUAAAUAUUAAUGGGUAACCGAUAGUGAAACAGUACCGUGAGGGAAAGGUGAAAAGAACCUAACUUAAAGCAAUAGCUUUAGGAACGGAGUGAAAUAGAACAUGAAACCAUAAGUUUACAAGCAGUAGGAAAACGACUUAACGUUUGACUGCGUGCCUGUUGAAGAAUGAGCCGGCGACUUAUAGGUAGUAGCAGGUUAAAGUUUUUAAUGACUGGAGCCCGAGCGAAAGCGAGUUUUAAAAGAGCGUUUUGUUACUAUUUAUAGACCCGAACCCAGGUGAUCUAACCAUGGCCAGGGUGAAGCUUAGGUGAAACUAAGUGGAGGCCCGAACUGAUCGAUGUUGAAAAAUCGCCGGAUGAGUUGUGGUUAGGGGUGAAAUGCCAAUCGAACUUGGAGCUAGCUGGUUCUCCCCGAAAUGCGUUGAGGCGCAGCGGUUAAUUUUAAAUUUGGGGGUAAAGCACUGUUUCGGUGCGGGCUGUGAAAACGGUACCAAAUCGAGGCAAACUCUGAAUACUAAAUGUAUAAUUAACCAGUCAGACAGUGGGGGAUAAGCUCCAUUGUCAAGAGGGAAACAGCCCAGACCAUCAGCUAAGGCCCCUAAAUAUUAGCUAAGUGGCAAAGGAGGUGGAAGUGCUUAGACAACCAGGAGGUUUGCCUAGAAGCAGCAACCCUUUAAAGAGUGCGUAAUAGCUCACUGGUCAAGCGCUUCUGCGCCGAAAAUGAACGGGACUAAGCUAUUUGCCGAAGCUAUGGGAUGUUUAUAUAACAUCGGUAGGGGAGCGUUCCGCUGUAGGGUGAAGUAUUAAUGUAAAUGAAUAUGGACGAAGCGGAAGUGAGAAUGUCGGCUUGAGUAGCGAAAACAUUGGUGGAAAUCCAAUGCCCCGAAAACCUAAGGUUUCCUCUGCAAGGCUCGUCCGCAGAGGGUGAGUCAGGUCCUAAGGUGAGGUCGAAAGACGUAGUCGAUGGAUAACGGGUUAAUAGUCCUGUACCAAUUUUGAUUUGUGAAGAGGGACGGAGAAGGCUAAGCCAGCCGGGAAUUGGACUCCGGUUUAAAUAUUUUAGGCGUUGAUAAGUGGGGAAAACACUUUGAGCUGAGAAUUAUGAGUAAAAGGCAUUACUGUUUAUUUUUCUAGAAAUAGAAAAUUGAAUGGCAGUGUUCAAUUGGUCUAUGUCAGGCUUCCAAGAAAAGCUCUAAACACGUUAAAUCAAAAUUGCCUGUACCAAAACCGACACAGGUAGGUAAGUAGAGAAUACUAAGGGGCGCGAGAUAACUCUCUCUAAGGAACUCGGCAAAAUAGCUCCGUAACUUCGGGAGAAGGAGUGCCCUUUUAAGGGCCGCAGUGACCAGGCCCAGGCGACUGUUUACCAAAAACACAGGUCUCCGCUAAUUCGUAAGAUGAUGUAUGGGGGCUGACGCCUGCCCAGUGCCGGAAGGUUAAGGAAGUUGGUCAGCCUUUUGGUGAAGCUAGCAACCGAAGCCCCGGUGAACGGCGGCCGUAACUAUAACGGUCCUAAGGUAGCGAAAUUCCUUGUCAGGUAAGUUCUGACCCGCACGAAAGGCGUAACGAUCUGGGCACUGUCUCAGAGAGAGACUCGGUGAAAUAGACAUGUCUGUGAAGAUGCGGACUACCUGCACCAGGACAGAAAGACCCUAUGAAGCUUUACUGUAGCCUGAUAUUGGGUUUGGGCUUUUCUUGCGCAGUAUAGGUGGGAGGCUAUGAAGCUAUCCUUGUGGGGAUAGCUGAGCUAUCAGUGAGAUACCACUCUGGAAAAGCUAAAAUUCUAACUUUAAGCCGUUAUCCGGAUAAAGAACAGUUUCAGGUGGGCAGUUUGACUGGGGCGGUCGCCUCCUAAAAAGUAACGGAGGUGUACAAAGGUUUCCUCAGGCUGGACAGAAAUCAGCCGGAGAGUGCAAAGGCAUAAGGAAGCUUGACUGUGAGACCUACAAGUCGAACAGAAACGAAAGUUGGUCUUAGUGAUCCGACGGUACCGCGUGGAAGGGCCGUCGCUCAACGGAUAAAAGUUACUCUAGGGAUAACAGGCUGAUCUCCCCCAAGAGUCCACAUCGACGGGGAGGUUUGGCACCUCGAUGUCGGCUCAUCGCAACCUGGGGCGGAAGUACGUCCCAAGGGUUGGGCUGUUCGCCCAUUAAAGCGGUACGUGAGCUGGGUUCAGAACGUCGUGAGACAGUUCGGUCCAUAUCCGGUGUAGGCGUUAGAGCAUUGAGAGGAGCUCUCCCUAGUACGAGAGGAUCGGGAGGGACACACCUAUGGUGUAUCAGUUAUUGUGCCAACAGUAUAUGCUGGGUAGCCAAGUGUGGGGAGGAUAACCGCUGAAAGCAUCUAAGUGGGAAGCCCACCUCAAGAUGAGUGCUCUCAUCGUAAUUUUACGAGUAAGAUCACGGCAAGACAAGCCGUUAAUAGGUAUCAAGUGUAAACGUAGUAAUGCGUGUAGCUGAGAUAUACUAAUAGAUCGAGGACUUGAUCU